GUUUUAGCUUAGUGGUAGAGUGCUUACCUCGAAUGCAUGAGGCCCUGGGUUCCAUCCUCAGCACGACA
RNAcentral lists this transfer RNA (68 nucleotides) under Marmota monax (woodchuck). Its description in RNAcentral is "tRNA.Ser". Lineage: Eukaryota; Metazoa; Chordata; Mammalia; Rodentia; Sciuridae. The record is from RNAcentral.